Molecule: ribosomal RNA, 253 nt
Filed under: uncultured bacterium
Lineage: Bacteria
Description: partial 16S ribosomal RNA
Rfam family: Bacterial small subunit ribosomal RNA
Source: RNAcentral
UACGGGGGGGGCAAGCGUUGUUCGGAAUUACUGGGCGUAAAGCGCACGUAGGCGGGUCCUUAAGUCAGGGGUGAAAUCCUGGAGCUCAACUCCAGAACUGCCCUUGAUACUGAGGAUCUCGAGUUCGGGAGAGGUGAGUGGAACUGCGAGUGUAGAGGUGAAAUUCGUAGAUAUUCGCAAGAACACCAGUGGCGAAGGCGGCUCACUGGCCCGAUACUGACGCUGAGGUGCGAAAGCGUGGGGAGCAAACAGG